GCUGAAUCUGCACUCCCAAUUCCCCUGCUCCCCUGAGUUCUGUCCAGGAAACUUUGCAUUCAGUCAAAAUUGUUACAAAGUUCAGCUGGAAGUUUCCUCCUCCCUCUGGUCUUUCCUCAGUUCCUCUGGCAGCCUUCCCCUAAGGACCUCUGCAAGACAAAGUCAGAAAUGGCUUUCCCGAGGAUUUAGAGAGCCCACAGGGCUCUUCCUACUGCUUCUUCUACCCCUGUUUUUCAUUCAGCUCUCUAAACUUGUCUCAGCUCCAGGGUCUCACUCUAUCCAGGC
This 285-nucleotide long non-coding RNA is filed under the name Homo sapiens (human). RNAcentral's name for it is "HSALNT0112096". The record is from RNAcentral. Lineage: Eukaryota; Metazoa; Chordata; Mammalia; Primates; Hominidae.